GAACUUAAGCAUAUCAAUAAGCGGAGGAAAAGAAACCAACAGGGAUUGCCUCAGUAACGGCGAGUGAAGCGGCAACAGCUCAAAUUUGAAAUCUGGCCGCAAGGUCCGAGUUGUAAUUUGUAGAGGAUGCUUUUGGCGAGGUGCCUUCCGAGUUCCCUGGAACGGGACGCCAUAGAGGGUGAGAGCCCCGUACGGUAGGACCACCAAGCCUCUGUAAAGCUCCUUCGACGAGUCGAGUAGUUUGGGAAUGCUGCUCUAAAUGGGAGGUGUACGUCUUCUAAAGCUAAAUACCGGCCAGAGACCGAUAGCGCACAAGUAGAGUGAUCGAAAGAUGAAAAGCACUUUGAAAAGAGGGUUAAAAAGUACGUGAAAUUGUUGAAAGGGAAGCAUUCAUGACCAGACUUGGGCUUGGUUGAACAUCCGGCGUUCUCGCCGGUGCACUCUGCCAGUCCAGGCCAGCAUCAGUUUGCCCCGGGGGAUAAAGGCGGCGGGAAUGUGGCUCCCUUCGGGGAGUGUUAUAGCCCGUCGUGUAAUGCCCUGGGGCGGACUGAGGAACGCGCUUCGGCACGGAUGCUGGCGUAAUGGUCAUCAAUGACCCGUCUUGAAACACGGACCAAGGAGUCGUCUUCGUAUGCGAGUGUUCGGGUGUCAAACCCCUACGCGUAAUGAAAGUGAACGUAGGUGAGAGCUUCGGCGCAUCACCGACCGAUCCUGGUGUUCUCGGAUGGAUUUGAGUAAGAGCAUACGGGGCCGGACCCGAAA
Molecule: ribosomal RNA, 762 nt
Filed under: uncultured fungus
Lineage: Eukaryota; Fungi
Description: eukaryotic LSU rRNA
Rfam family: Eukaryotic large subunit ribosomal RNA
Source: RNAcentral